Molecule: ribosomal RNA, 515 nt
Filed under: uncultured bacterium
Lineage: Bacteria
Description: partial 16S ribosomal RNA
Rfam family: Bacterial small subunit ribosomal RNA
Source: RNAcentral
GACGAACGCUGGCGGCGUGCCUAAUACAUGCAAGUCGAGCGAAUGGAUUAAGAGCUUGCUCUUAUGAAGUUAGCGGCGGACGGGUGAGUAACACGUGGGUAACCUGCCCAUAAGACUAGGAUAACUCCGGGAAACCGGGGCUAAUACCGGAUAACAUUUUGAACCGCAUGGUUCAAAAUUGAAAGGCGGCUUCGGCUGUCACUUAUGGAUGGACCCGCGUCGCAUUAGCUAGUUGGUGAGGUAACAGCUCACCAAGGCAACGAUGCGUAGCCGACCUGAGAGGGUGAUCGGCCACACUGGGACUGAGACACGGCCCAGACUCCUACGGGAGGCAGCAGUAGGGAAUCUUCCGCAAUGGACGAAAGUCUGACGGAGCAACGCCGCGUGAGUGAUGAAGGCUUUCGGGUCGUAAAACUCUGUUGUUAGGGAAGAACAAGUGCUAGUUGAAUAAGCUGGCACCUUGACGGUACCUAACCAGAAAGCCACGGCUAACUACGUGCCAGCCGCCGCAGUAA